Molecule: ribosomal RNA, 442 nt
Filed under: uncultured soil bacterium
Lineage: Bacteria
Description: bacterial SSU rRNA
Rfam family: Bacterial small subunit ribosomal RNA
Source: RNAcentral
CACGGGGGGAACGCGAAGACCUUACCUGGCCUUGACAUCCGCGGAACUCGGCAGAAAUGCCUUGGUGCCUUCGGGAAUCGCGAGACAGGUGCUGCAUGGCUGUCGUUAGCUCGUGUCGUGAGAUGUUGGGUUAAGUCCCGCAACGAGCGCAACCCUUGUCCUUAGUUGCCAUCAUUAAGUUGGGAACUCUAAGGAGACCGCCGGUGACAAACCGGAGGAAGGUGGGGAUGACGUCAAGUCAUCAUGGCCCUUAUGGCCAGGGCUACACACGUGCUACAAUGGGCGGUACAGAGGGUUGCCAACCCGCGAGGGGGAGCUAAUCCCAAAAAGCCGUUCGUAGUCCGGAUCGGAGUCUGCAACUCGACUCCGUGAAGUCGGAAUCGCUAGUAAUCGCAGAUCAGCAUUGCUGCGGUGAAUACGUUCCCGGGUCUUGUACACACGC